Hypanus sabinus (Atlantic stingray) is the source of this 1018-nucleotide long non-coding RNA. RefSeq lists it as uncharacterized. The transcript has 3 exons. The record is from RefSeq and is a predicted model, not a curated record. Lineage: Eukaryota; Metazoa; Chordata; Chondrichthyes; Myliobatiformes; Dasyatidae.
CACAAGAAUGAUACCUGGAAUGAAAGGCUUAUCAGAUGAGAAGAGUUUGAUGGCUCUGGACCUGUACUCGCUCGAGUUUAGGAGAAUGAGGGGGGAUCUCAUUGAGGCCUCGAGUGAGUGGAUUGGAGAGGCUGUUUCCCGUAGUAGAAAGGUGAUUUUGCUGAGAUCCUGCUGGGCGUGUGACACGAUUGGGAAUGAAAGUGGAGGCCCUAAGUCACAGCAUCCUUUCCAGAGGCAAAAUGUGGAAAGAGAGGAUGUGUCAGAUUUAUGCAAUUGGAUCAUCCCUGUUCCCCGGUUAGCAGUCAAUUAAUCCCAUCCAUAGCUUCACAAAAAUGAUUCCGGGAUUGAAAGGCUUGUCAUAUGAGACAUCCAUGAGAACCAGAAGAACUCCGAAAGAAUGAAUGACAGAAAAUCAUUAGAGCCCCAAAGGCCCCUCUUCCCGGCACAGUCAGCAGUGAGCGUCAAUGCAAAAUCCUGCACCCCCGCUCCCGUUUCAGCAAAAAGUCUCAGCACCCACCAACCAACAAGCAACAGCAAAGCACCCAAACAGAGUCCAUGACCUGCACUCAACGUAAAACUAUUGUUCACCCGACAGUUCGACAAGCACAGGCUCUCUCUCCUUUAUUAACAAGGGGCAGAGAGGUGUCACAACAUUUCACUGUGAAAGGGGAGACUGACAGUCACUGUUAUGGUGUUAUGGCAUCAGCAGCAGCGCAAUCUGAACGCUCCAUCUCUGGCGACGCCUCAGUCGACAACACUGGCCUGAAAUUGGUCAUCAACUGGGCUGCGCAGGCUCACACCCCGGAGGCGUCAUCUUCCAAACUGUGCCUGGAAGAUGUUGGGAAAUGUUCAGCCGACGUGCUUCAGGAAUGGGAACUCAUCCGCUGUAAAAUAAAAAAAAAGCAGUUUGAGUGCCGCUUGCAGAUCAGGACCUCAAUAGGACCCCACCCACCCUGAAACGGAAACAAAAGAGCCAUUAAAGGGAGGAAUUAAGCUGUUUUCCUCAGAUGAGUGUAAA